GACGAACGCUGGCGGCGUGCUUAACACAUGCAAGUCGAACGGAAAGGCCCUGCUUUUGUGGGGCGCUCGAGUGGCGAACGGGUGAGUAACACGUGAGUAACCUGCCCUUGACUUUGGGAUAACUUCAGGAAACUGGGGCUAAUACCGGAUAGGAGCUCCUGCUGCAUGGUGGGGGUUGGAAAGUUUCGGCGGUUGGGGAUGGACUCGCGGCUUAUCAGCUUGUUGGUGGGGUAGUGGCUUACCAAGGCUUUGACGGGUAGCCGGCCUGAGAGGGUGACCGGCCACAUUGGGACUGAGAUACGGCCCAGACUCCUACGGGAGGCAGCAGUGGGGAAUAUUGCACAAUGGGCGGAAGCCUGAUGCAGCAACGCCACGUGCGGGAUGACGGCCUUCGGGUUGUAAACCGCUUUCGCCUGUGACGAAGCGUGAGUGACGGUAAUGGGUAAAGAAGCACCGGCUAACUACGUG
Molecule: ribosomal RNA, 468 nt
Filed under: uncultured bacterium
Lineage: Bacteria
Description: partial 16S ribosomal RNA
Rfam family: Bacterial small subunit ribosomal RNA
Source: RNAcentral